GUUGUCAUGGCCAAGUGGUUAAGGCGAUCUAUGUGAGUUCCAAUGGGAUGUCCCCACACAGGUUCAAAUCCUGCCGAUAACG
Non-coding RNA from Danionella cerebrum, 82 nucleotides. Lineage: Eukaryota; Metazoa; Chordata; Actinopteri; Cypriniformes; Danionidae. The record is from the annotation of a GenBank genome assembly.